Molecule: ribosomal RNA, 92 nt
Filed under: uncultured bacterium
Lineage: Bacteria
Description: partial 16S ribosomal RNA
Rfam family: Bacterial small subunit ribosomal RNA
Source: RNAcentral
CCCGUCACAUCAUGAAAGCCGCUUGUACCCGAAGUCGCUGUGCCAACUCGCAAGAGGGGCAGGUGCCGAAGGUAUGGGUGGUGAUUGGGAUG